CCUACGGGAGGCAGCAGUGGGGAAUCUUCCACAAUGGGGGAAACCCUGCUGCGGCAACGCCGCGUGAAGGAAGAAGGUUUUCGGAUUGUAAACUUCUGUUCUUAGUGAAGAACAUUGAUGGUAGUAAAUGAGUAAGUCAUGGCUAACUCUGUGCCACCAGCCACGGCAAUAUGUAGGUGGCAAGCGUUGUCCGGAAUUACUGGGUGUAAGGGGUGCGCAGGCGGGAAGCCAAGUCCGCUGUGAAAACUACGGGCUUAACUUGUGGACUGCAGUUGAAACUGGUAUUCUUGAGUGAAGAAGAGGUUGGGGGAAUUCCAAGUGUAGCGGUGAAAUGCGUAGAGAUUCGGAGGAACACCAGUGGCGAAGGCGACCAACUGGGCUUUAACUGACGCUGAGGCGCGAAAGUGCGGGUAUCAAACAGGAUUAGAUACCCUAGUAGUC
This 441-nucleotide ribosomal RNA is filed under the name uncultured bacterium. Its description in RNAcentral is "partial 16S ribosomal RNA". It matches the Rfam family "Bacterial small subunit ribosomal RNA", at positions 338 to 795 of the family's 1533-position model. The record is from RNAcentral.